AGCUUUAUAUUCAUAAAUGAUUUUAAAUUGCAAAUUUAAAGGUGGAAAUUUUUCUUAAGGCUU
RNAcentral lists this transfer RNA (63 nucleotides) under Gloeosoma sp. GLO01. RNAcentral describes it as "tRNA-Cys". Lineage: Eukaryota; Metazoa; Arthropoda; Insecta; Coleoptera; Corylophidae. The record is from RNAcentral.